RNAcentral lists this ribosomal RNA (253 nucleotides) under uncultured bacterium. RNAcentral describes it as "partial 16S ribosomal RNA". It matches the Rfam family "Bacterial small subunit ribosomal RNA", at positions 524 to 776 of the family's 1533-position model. The record is from RNAcentral.
UACAGAGGUCUCAAGCGUUGUUCGGAUUCAUUGGGCGUAAAGGGUGCGUAGGCCGCGCGGAGGGUGGGAUGUGAAAUCCCCCGGCUCAACCGGGGAAUAGCGUCCCAAACCGCCGUGCUCGAGGGAGACAGAGGUGAGCGGAACUGAUGGUGGAGCGGUGAAAUGCGUUGAUAUCAUCAGGAACACCAGUGGCGAAAGCGGCUCACUGGGUCUUUCCUAACGCUGAGGCACGAAAGCUAGGGGAGCGAACGGG